Molecule: non-coding RNA, 22 nt
Filed under: Arabidopsis thaliana (thale cress)
Lineage: Eukaryota; Viridiplantae; Streptophyta; Magnoliopsida; Brassicales; Brassicaceae
Source: RNAcentral
UUUAUUGGUUGAUUCUCAGGUA